Rosa rugosa (rugosa rose) is the source of this 721-nucleotide long non-coding RNA. RefSeq lists it as uncharacterized. The transcript has 3 exons. The record is from RefSeq and is a predicted model, not a curated record. NCBI's taxonomy places the organism in Eukaryota, Viridiplantae, Streptophyta, Magnoliopsida, Rosales, Rosaceae.
UUUAAAAUGGCAAUCAUGCAUUUAGUCGUCAGUCCUUAACCCCAUUCAUUCACCAAUGAAGCUGGACUUAUUCCUCUUUCUUAUUCGGUUUUCCAUUCCAACUUCCAAGUCUCCAUUCUCUUCCACCUUUUAUAUACUCUUACACUUCUUUCUCACACAUUUACAACCCCUUUUCAUUUUCAUCAAGCUUCUUCUACCAAUUUGGUUGUAGGAUGACAGAGCCAGCUGCAGCUUCUACAACUGUGAGGACGAUCAGCAGAUUUUUUGCAGCAAACAACUCUGCAGGUAAAGCUCGCAAUUUUGUUUAGCUCAAAGGGAUCCAAUUUCGGAGGGUAGGUCCCUUUCUAUUUUCAACAAUGCUGCAUACUUGUUUUGGCAAUCCCAUUUCUCUCAAUACAACCAUUUCCAAUAGUGUUCAUCCUCAAGCUUCUUCCACCAAUUUUGGUGAACAGGAUGAGACAGCUUCUGCAACCGUGAGAAAAAUUCUGUCUUCACCGAUCAAGUUUGCAACAUGGGAUGCAUGAAGCUUAUUGAUCACCACUGGACCGGGAUUUGCAAGAACAAGCUGCGCAUGAAACUUGGAGGUUUCAGACCCAAUAUAGAAGAAAUAGACACAAGUGGAGGAAAAGCACAUGGACAAAUGAGAUGGAGAGGUACAUAUAACUUACUCCAUGAUGAGCUGAGUCAAAAACUGAGUUUAAUACAGAGAUUAUAUCAGUUU